GAGGGAUGGAGGUGGGAGCCGGCGUGGGGCGAGGGAUGGAGGUGGGAGCCGGCAUGGGACGAGGGAUGGAGCUGGGAACUGGUUUGGGGCGAGGGAUGGAGCUGCUGUGGGGUGAAGAGGGCUGCAGGGAGCCGGCACGGGGCGAAGGAUGAAGUUGGUGUAGGGCGAGCAAUGGAGAAGGAUGCGCUGGGAUAAGCUGAUGUGAACAGCGGCUGCUCCGCUUGCAGGUGUCAGAGGCCCCGAGUGGCCCCUCGGCCCCGCGUGGCCCCAUGAACGUGGUGCAGGACAGCUAUGAGUCAGUGAUCUCCCUGGCGGAAGAGAUCGCCAUGAGCUGGCCACGAAUAUGUGCCUUUGCAGAGCCCCCCAGGUGCCUAAGCUUGCUGUGCUAUGUUGACAUGGAGCCACCCCGGGGGCAGCUGGAGCCGCCGCAGGGUCUGGCAACGACCCCCUGGAGCCAGGGGCUGUUGCUGCCCGAUUUCCGGAAGCAGCUCAUGGCCAUCAUGCAAACCAUCGGCCAGAGCCAGGUGGAGAAAAUGCUACGGGAGCUGGUGAAGGAGCAGAAGCAAGAAGGGAGAGUCCAGUGGUGCCGCAGGCCCGUGAAGAGCCUUGGCAGCGGAGCAGGCAGCAGGACUCAGAAAGUGAAGGAAGAAGUGCCUCCUCAGGACGGCGGCGUGGAGCCGACGGGUGCCUGGGGCAUGUUUUCAGGGAUGCCCAGAGGCUCAGAGCAGCACCCAGCCCUGGCAGCCCAGCAGGGCCCUGAAGAGGCACCCGAGAGCCCUCCGGCAGCCCCCCAUGGCAAACCGGCUCGGGCGGGAGCCCUCGGGAAGGCCAGAGACGUCCCAACCCCUCCAAAACGCUGGCCAGAGGAGCAGGGCCGAGGCUGGGGGGCCGGCUGCAAGGAGGGCUGCGGUGGGCCGUGCGCCGCCCCCC
Molecule: long non-coding RNA, 930 nt
Filed under: Struthio camelus australis
Lineage: Eukaryota; Metazoa; Chordata; Aves; Struthioniformes; Struthionidae
Description: lncRNA (ENSSCUG00000009286.1)
Source: RNAcentral